This 169-nucleotide ribosomal RNA is filed under the name Radulinopsis derjavini. RNAcentral describes it as "partial 12S rRNA". The record is from RNAcentral. Lineage: Eukaryota; Metazoa; Chordata; Actinopteri; Perciformes; Cottidae.
CACCGCGGUUAUACGAGAGGCCCAAGUUGACAAAUACCGGCGUAAAGCGUGGUUAGGUUUAAACUCACACUAAGGCCAAACAUCUUCAAGGCUGUUAUACGCAACCGAAGACAGGAAGUUCAAUCACGAAAGUGGCUUUAUCUGAUCUGAAUCCACGAAAGCUAAGGAA